This 453-nucleotide ribosomal RNA is filed under the name uncultured bacterium. Its description in RNAcentral is "partial 16S ribosomal RNA". It matches the Rfam family "Bacterial small subunit ribosomal RNA", at positions 28 to 507 of the family's 1533-position model. The record is from RNAcentral.
GAUGAACGCUGACAGAAUGCUUAACACAUGCAAGUCAACUUGAACUUCGGUUUGGGUGGCGGACGGGUGAGUAACGCGUAAAGAACUUGCCUCACAGCUAGGGACAACAUUUGGAAACGAAUGCUAAUACCUGAUAUUAUGAUUAUAUGGCAUCGUAUAAUUAUGAAAGCUAUAUGCGCUGUGAGAGAGCUUUGCGUCCCAUUAGCUAGUUGGAGAGGUAACAGCUCACCAAGGCGAUGAUGGGUAGCCGGCCUGAGAGGGUGAUCGGCCACAAGGGGACUGAGACACGGCCCUUACUCCUACGGGAGGCAGCAGUGGGGAAUAUUGGACAAUGGACCGAGAGUCUGAUCCAGCAAUGCUGUGUGCACGAUGAAGUUUUUCGGAAGGUAAAGUGCUUUCAGUUGGGAAGAAAAAAUGACGGUACCAACAGAAGAAGUGACGGCUAAAUACGUG